This 430-nucleotide ribosomal RNA is filed under the name Verrucomicrobiota bacterium. Its description in RNAcentral is "Verrucomicrobia bacterium partial 16S ribosomal RNA". It matches the Rfam family "Bacterial small subunit ribosomal RNA", at positions 355 to 776 of the family's 1533-position model. The record is from RNAcentral. Lineage: Bacteria; Pseudomonadati; Verrucomicrobiota.
UGGGGAAUCUUCCGCAAUGGGCGAAAGCCUGACGGAGCAACGCCGCGUGAGUGAAGACGGCCUUCGGGUUGUAAAGCUCUGUUAUUCGGGAAGAAAGAGUCGCUUGUGAACAAUGAGCGAAAGUGACGGUACCUAACCAGAAAGCCACGGCUAACUACGUGCCAGCAGCCGCGGUAAUACGUAGGUGGCAAGCGUUGUCCGGAAUUAUUGGGCGUAAAGCGCGCGCAGGUGGUUUAGAAAGUCUGAUGUGAAAGCCCACGGCUCAACCGUGGAGGGUCAUUGGAAACUAAUAAACUUGAGUGCAGGAGAGAAAAGUGGAAUUCCUAGUGUAGCGGUGAAAUGCGUAGAGAUUAGGAGGAACACCGGUGGCGAAAGCGGCUUUUUGGCCUGCAACUGACACUGAGGCGCGAAAGCGUGGGGAGCAAACAGG